AUUUGUUUUCCAACAGCAUUGCCUUUCUACCUGAAGGAGUAUUUUUGAAUUUGAAAAAGUUGGAGACGCUGGAUUUGUCUUCAAACAACAUUUCCUCUCUACCAGAAGGAGUAUUUUUGACAUUAAAAACGUUGGAGAGGCUGGAUUUGUCUUCCAACAAAGUUGUCUCUUUAUCCACAAA
Pocillopora damicornis (cauliflower coral) is the source of this 181-nucleotide long non-coding RNA. NCBI's taxonomy places the organism in Eukaryota, Metazoa, Cnidaria, Anthozoa, Scleractinia, Pocilloporidae. The record is from RefSeq and is a predicted model, not a curated record.